GUGUCAGCCUCCUCUUUACCACGUAGGUCCCGAGCGUUGUCCGGAUUUACUGGGCGUAAAGGGCUCGUAGGUGGUUUCUUAGGUCUCACGUGAAAUUCCCUGGCUCAACCAGGGAGGGUCGUGGGAAACCGAGAGGCUAGAGGGCAGGAGAGGAGAGUGGAAUUCCCGGUGUAGCGGUGAAAUGCGUAGAGAUCGGGAGGAACACCAGUGGUGAAGACGGCUCUCUGGACUGUCCCUGACACUGAGGAGCGAAAGCCAGGGGAGCAAACCGGAUUAGAUACCCGGGUAGUCCUGGCCGUAAACGAUGGGUACUAGGUGUGGGGGGUUCGACCCCCUCCGUGCCGCAGUUAAUGCAUUAAGUACCCCGCCUGGGGAGUACGGCCGCAAGGUUGAAACUUAAAUGAAUUGGCGG
RNAcentral lists this ribosomal RNA (412 nucleotides) under uncultured bacterium. RNAcentral's name for it is "bacterial SSU rRNA". It matches the Rfam family "Bacterial small subunit ribosomal RNA", at positions 505 to 916 of the family's 1533-position model. The record is from RNAcentral.